AUUCUUACGAUGCAGAGAGAAAUUAUCAAAAGGAAACAAAAGUAUAUCAAAAAGGAGAAAAAAGACAUUAAAAAGAGCAUAAAGAAGCAGACCGGGGGCGCGCAAAAGGAGCAAAGCCAGAGACCUUGGCGUGGAGGCGAAUGCACGCAUAGGCAGCCAGCCGGACAUAUAAUAGUUCUCUCUACAAAUCCUAGAUAGGUUUAACUUAGAUUUUACUCUUUUCUCGAGAAGAAAUUGUGCUAUUUUUUAUUCUACACUUUUGGAUUUGGGUGGAUUCUCCCUACCUCAACUUAGAUUCUACAAUAGAGAAGUUUUCCUUCAUUUAUCUUGCUUUGAUUUAUGUUAUGUUGCUAUUAAAUGUGUUUUAUUUAUGUGAUUAUGCUUUACAAUUCUGAGUAGUAAAUUUAGGGGUUUACCAGAAGGCGACACAAGACAGCCAAAGCCUCACCGAUGCAACGACCGUGCUGAGGAUGUCAUCCAAGCAUGUUUUGAAGGGAACCCGUUCAAAACAGUUCCUGGUCCUUUCAAGUUGUUCUGGCAGUGUAUGCGUUCUAAGCCUGGGGAAGAGCCCACGGAGCCAUUCACUUAUCUGCAGUUAGAUCCACCGAAGAGGGAAGUAAAACUUGAGUGAAGCGUCUUCUAAACUCAAGUCAUUCACUUAUCUGCAGUUAGAUCCACCGAAGAGGGAAGUAAAACUUGAGUGAAGCGUCUUCUAAACUCAAGUCGAUAUUAGAGUCUUUUCCUUCCUGUGCCCCAAUCCUUGUCUAUGACAAGGUUUCUGUACCAAAAAUACUGAAUACACUAUUGUCUUGUUUCUAUUAUCAGUAAAAUGUCAUUUUCACAAUUUUGAGCAAUAAAGAUUCCCAGUAUCAAGAA
Long non-coding RNA from Ipomoea nil (Japanese morning glory), 876 nucleotides. RefSeq lists it as uncharacterized. The record is from RefSeq and is a predicted model, not a curated record. The transcript has 4 exons. NCBI's taxonomy places the organism in Eukaryota, Viridiplantae, Streptophyta, Magnoliopsida, Solanales, Convolvulaceae.